GCUGGAUUGGCCAGCAGGGGGAGAUAAUGGUGUAAUGGCUGGAUUGGCCAGCAGGGGGAGAUAAUGGUGUAAUGGCUGGAUUGGCCGGCAGGGGGAGAUAAUGGUGUAAUGGCCGGAUUGGCCGGCAGGGGGAGAUAAUGGUGUAAUGGCUGGAUUGGCCGGCAGGGGGAGAUAAUGGUGUAAUGGUUGGAUUGGCCAGCAGGGGGAGAUAAUGGUGUAAUGGUUGGAUUGGCCAGCAGGGGGAGAUAAUGGUGUAAUGGCAGGAUUGGCCAGCAGGGGGAGAUAAUGGUGUAAUGGCUGGAUUGGCCAGCAGGG
Molecule: non-coding RNA, 315 nt
Organism: Pelobates cultripes (western spadefoot toad)
Lineage: Eukaryota; Metazoa; Chordata; Amphibia; Anura; Pelobatidae
Source: the annotation of a GenBank genome assembly